RNAcentral lists this ribosomal RNA (115 nucleotides) under Acanthosepion pharaonis. The record is from RNAcentral. Lineage: Eukaryota; Metazoa; Mollusca; Cephalopoda; Sepiida; Sepiidae.
UUACGAUCAAAUCACGCUGAAAACACCGGUUCUCGCUCGAUCACCGAAGUUAAGCAUCGUAGAGCCAGGUCAGUACUUAGAUGGGGACCACUUGGGAACACCCUGGUACUGUAAG